UGGCGGCCAUAGCGCGGUGGUCCCACCUGACCCCAUGCCGAACUCAGAAGUGAAACGCCGUAGCGCCGAUGGUAGUGUGGGGUCUCCCCAUGCGAGAGUAGGACACUGCCAGGUA
RNAcentral lists this ribosomal RNA (115 nucleotides) under Yersinia enterocolitica. The record is from RNAcentral. Lineage: Bacteria; Pseudomonadati; Pseudomonadota; Gammaproteobacteria; Enterobacterales; Yersiniaceae.